UGUCAGCGGACUGCUCGAGCUGC
This 23-nucleotide small nuclear RNA is filed under the name Arabidopsis thaliana (thale cress). RNAcentral describes it as "snRNA_14915". The record is from RNAcentral. Lineage: Eukaryota; Viridiplantae; Streptophyta; Magnoliopsida; Brassicales; Brassicaceae.